This 253-nucleotide ribosomal RNA is filed under the name uncultured bacterium. RNAcentral's name for it is "partial 16S ribosomal RNA". It matches the Rfam family "Bacterial small subunit ribosomal RNA", at positions 524 to 776 of the family's 1533-position model. The record is from RNAcentral.
UACGGAGGGUGCGAGCGUUGUCCGGAAUCACUGGGCGUAAAGGGCGCGUAGGUGGCGCGACAAGUCAACGGUGAAAGCUCGGCGCUCAACGCCGAGUCGGCCGUCGAUACUGUUGGGCUUGAGCACUGUAGAGGCUAAUGGAAUUCCGGGUGUAGCGGUGGAAUGCGUAGAUAUCCGGAGGAACACCAGUGGCGAAAGCGGCCACCUGGACUGCACCUGACGCUGACACGCGAAAGCUAGGGGAGCGAACGGG